RNAcentral lists this ribosomal RNA (229 nucleotides) under uncultured bacterium. RNAcentral's name for it is "partial 16S ribosomal RNA". It matches the Rfam family "Bacterial small subunit ribosomal RNA", at positions 568 to 796 of the family's 1533-position model. The record is from RNAcentral.
UGCGUAGGCGGAUUAAUAAGUCAGUGGUGAAAGCCCCCGGCUCAACCGGGGAACUGCCAUUAAUACUGUCAUUCUUGAGUAUAGUUGAAGUGGGCGGAAUGUAUCAUGUAGCGGUGAAAUGCUUAGAUAUGAUACAGAACACCGAUAGCGUAGGCAGCUUGCUAAACUAUAACUGACGCUCAGGCACGAAAGCGUGGGGAGCAAACAGGAUUAGAUACCCUGGUAGUCC